RNAcentral lists this ribosomal RNA (2264 nucleotides) under Octopoteuthis deletron. Its description in RNAcentral is "SSU rRNA". It matches the Rfam family "Eukaryotic small subunit ribosomal RNA". The record is from RNAcentral. Lineage: Eukaryota; Metazoa; Mollusca; Cephalopoda; Oegopsida; Octopoteuthidae.
ACCUGGUUGAUCCUGCCAGUAGUCAUAUGCUUGUCUCAAAGCUUAAGCCAUGCAAGUGUAAGUUCACGCCACGCAUUAGAACGGGCGAAACCGCGAAUGGCUCAGGAACCGGACCUAAUCCUCGGGACCGUAAUCCUCCUCGGAGGCGAUGGAUAACUGUGGCAAUUCUAGAGCUAAUACAUGUGACACAGGCCGCGAUCGGCCGUCGCGCCGUGGUCGCCUCGCCUCGCGCGCUGGCACCCGCGGCGGCCGUCUUGGGUCGCGGCGCUACAUAUUAGACUGAGACCGAUGCGCGAUUCCCGUCCUCUCGUUCGUCUCUCUCGCUCUCGGGCUUGGGUCGCGUUCGGGGCCAAAGGACGGCGCGCUCCGCUUUGGUGACUCUGGAUAACUCACUGGUCGAUCGCACGGGCUUCCACGCCCGGCGACGGGUCCCCCGAGGGUCCGCCCUAUCAACUGUCGACGGUCGGUUAAGUGCCUACCGUGGUUACUACGGGUAACGGGGAAUCGGGGUUCGAUUCCGGAGAGGGAGCAUGCGAAACGGCUACCACAUCCAAGGAAGGCAGCAGGCGCGCAAAUUACCCACUCCCGGCACGGGGAGGUAGUGACGAAAAAUAACGACGCGGGACUCUGUCGAGGCCCCGCGAUCGGAAUGAGUACACUUCAAAUCCGUUAACGAGGACCAACCGGAGGGCAAGUCUGGUGCCAGCAGCCGCGGUAAUUCCAGCUCCGGUAGCGUAUAUUAAAGUUGUUGCGGUUAAAAAGCUCGUAGUCCGAACUCGGGUUCGUGGUCGCUCACGCGGCCCCGGGGCGGCGGCGCCAUCGUCCAUCGUUGACUUUGGUCGUCCGUUCGCAUUCCCGGCCCUUUCCGCCGGUGUCAAUCGCUAUAUAGACCGGGGCGGUUCCGGCUGGUUUGGGGUGCGUCGUCAUAGGUCUGGUGUUUGGGGAAAAGGUGUCGCGGGUUCGCGCCCACGUCGCCCCUACUCGGACCCUGAUCUUCGGCCGGGCUCUCGGGCCCCCUCGAAUCAACGCUCGGUCCGUUCUGGUCUGGCGGUUUCUCCUCCAAGGGUGCUCUUAACCGAGUGUCCGCGGCGGCCGGUACGUUCACUUUGAAAAAAUUAGAGUGCUCAGAGCGGGCUGUUCAAGCUUGCAUACUAUAAGCAUGGAAUGAUGGAAGAGGGCCUCGUCUACGUCUGUCGGUCUCCGUCUACGGCGAGGCAAUGAUCGAAGGGAGCGGUCGGGGCCACUCGUAUUGCGACGUUAGAGGUGAAAUUCUUGGAUCGUCGCAAGACGAACUGCAGCGAUGGCGUGUGGCAAGCACGUUUUCCUCGAUCAAGAGCGAAAGUCGGAGGUUCGAAGACGAUCAGAUACCGUCGUAGUUCCGACCGUAAACGAUGCCGACCGGCGAUCCGCCGGCGUUCGCUUCCAUGACCCGGCGGGUAGCCUGCGGGAAACCAGAGUUCGGUUCCGGGGGGAGUAUGGUUGCAAAGCUGAAACUUAAAGGAAUUGACGGAAGGGCACCACCAGGAGUGGAGCCUGCGGCUUAAUUUGACCCAACACGGGAAAACUCACCCGGUCCGGACACCGGUAGGAUUGACAGAUCGAUAGCUCUUUCUCGAUUCGGUGGGUGGUGGUGCAUGGCCGUUCUUAGUUGGUGGAGCGAUCCGUCUGGUUGAUUCCGAUAACGAACGAGACUCCGGCCUGCUAACUAGUGCGCCGAUGUGAGUGCGGCCCUUUGCUGGUCGUGUGCGGGCUUGCGGUCCGCGUUCAUUUUUGAUGUUCGUGGUCUUCGUGUGUCCGGGUCGGUUUCUCACGCACUUCUUAGAGGGACGGGUGGCAGAAAGCCACACGAGGCGGAGCGAUAACAGGUCUGUGAUGCCCUUAGAUGUCCGGGGCCGCACGCGCGCUACACUGGAGGUAUCAGCGGGGACUUCGCCCCGGCCCGAGAGGGUCGGGAAACCUCUCAACCACCUCCCGUGAUAGGGAUCGGGGCCUGUAACCAACCCCGUGAACGAGGAAUUCCCGGUAGGCGCGGGUCAACAGCCCGCGUCGAUCACGUCCCUGCCCUUUGUACACACCGCCCGUCGCUACUACCGAUCGAACGGUCCGGUGAGGUCCUCGGAUCUGGCCGACGACGCCGCCGGGCGACAGGGGCAACCCUUGAGCCUCGGCGUUCGAUGCCUGGAGAAGACGACCGAACCCGAUCGUUUAGAGGAAGUAAAAGUCGUAACAAGGUUUCCGUAGGUGAACCUGCGGAAGGAUCAUUA